UAGGGAAUCUUCGGCAAUGGACGAAAGUCUGACCGAGCAACGCCGCGUGAGUGAAGAAGGUUUUCGGAUCGUAAAACUCUGUUGUUAGAGAAGAACAAGGACGUUAGUAACUGAACGUCCCCUGACGGUAUCUAACCAGAAAGCCACGGCUAACUACGUGCCAGCAGCCGCGGUAAUACGUAGGUGGCAAGCGUUGUCCGGAUUUAUUGGGCGUAAAGCGAGCGCAGGCGGUUUCUUAAGUCUGAUGUGAAAGCCCCCGGCUCAACCGGGGAGGGUUAUUGGAAACUGGGGGACUUGAGUGCAGAAGAGGCGAGUGGAAUUCCAUAUGUAGCGGUGAAAUGCGUAGAUAUAUGGAGGAACACCAGUGGCGAAGGCGGCUCUCUGGUCUGUAACUGACGCUGAGGCUCGAAAGCGUGGGGAGCAAACAGG
RNAcentral lists this ribosomal RNA (429 nucleotides) under Chloroflexota bacterium. RNAcentral describes it as "Chloroflexi bacterium partial 16S ribosomal RNA". It matches the Rfam family "Bacterial small subunit ribosomal RNA", at positions 355 to 776 of the family's 1533-position model. The record is from RNAcentral. Lineage: Bacteria; Bacillati; Chloroflexota.